UGGGGAAUCUUCCGCAAUGGACGAAAGUCUGACGGAGCAACGCCGCGUGAGUGAAGACGGCCUUCGGGUUGUAAAGCUCUGUUAUUCGGGAAGAACGAUUCGUUUGUGAACAAUGAACGGAAGUGACGGUACCGAAAGAGAAAGCCACGGCUAACUACGUGCCAGCAGCCGCGGUAAUACGUAGGUGGCAAGCGUUGUCCGGAAUUAUUGGGCGUAAAGAGCGCGUAGGCGGUAUGGUAAGUCUGUCUUAGAAGUGCGGGGCUUAACCCCGUGAGGGGACAGAGACUGUCAUACUGGAGUCUCGGAGAGGAAAGCAGAAUUCCUAGUGUAGCGGUGAAAUGCGUAGAGAUUAGGAAGAACACCGGUGGCGAAGGCGGCUUUCUGGACGAGCACUGACGCUGAGGCGCGAAAGCGUGGGGAGCGAACAGG
Molecule: ribosomal RNA, 429 nt
Filed under: Fusobacteriota bacterium
Lineage: Bacteria; Fusobacteriati; Fusobacteriota
Description: Fusobacteria bacterium partial 16S ribosomal RNA
Rfam family: Bacterial small subunit ribosomal RNA
Source: RNAcentral